Molecule: ribosomal RNA, 253 nt
Filed under: uncultured bacterium
Lineage: Bacteria
Description: partial 16S ribosomal RNA
Rfam family: Bacterial small subunit ribosomal RNA
Source: RNAcentral
GACAGAGGUGCUAAGCGUUAGGCGGAAUCACUGGGCUUAAAGCGUGUGUAGGCGGAAUUGUAAGUACCUUGUGAAAUCCCACGGCUCAACCGUGGAACUGCUUGGUAUACUGCUUUUCUUGAGCCACUUAGGGGCUGUCGGAACAAACGGUGGAGCGGUGGAAUGCGCAGAUAUCAGGAGGAACACCGGUGGCGAAGGCGGGUCUCUGGGCAGUAACUGACGCUGAGGAGCGAAAGCGUGGGGAGCGAACAGG